UCAAGCGCUCGCCUGGCAUGCGUGGGGCGCUGGGUUCAAUCCUCAGCACCACAUAAAAAUAAAAAUAAAGAUGUUGUGUCCACUGAAAACUAAAAAAAUAAAUAUUAAAAAAUUCUCUCUCUCUUUAAAAAAAUAAAAAUAAAAAAAUAAGAUUUUAUUUUGAGAUGGGGUUUCCCUAAAUUGCUAAGGUUGGCCUCUAACUUGUAUUCCUCCUUCCUCAGCCUCUUGAGCAGCCCCGUUAGAGACAUGCCACUGGGCCCUGCAGGUUCUGAUUCCCUGUCACUCUCCCCCUCUGACUCAUGGGCCAACUAAAGAUGAGCUUGUUAACUUCCAAAUGCUUAGGGAGUUUUUGGGGGGAGCGGGUCACUAGGGAUUGAACCCAGAAGCACUCUAUUAUUGAGCUGCAUCCCCAGACCUUUUUCUUUUUCUUUCUUUCUUUUUGAGACAGGGGCAUCUCCUUAAGUUUCUCCCAAACUUGUGAUUCUCCUGCUGCCUGCCUCAGUCUUCUGAGUGGCUGGGAUUACAGGCAUGGGCCACUGCACCUGGCUACGUUUAGGGAAAUUUAUGUUAUUUUUCUGUUAGUGAUUUCUGGCUUAAUAUUAUUAUGUCAUAUGAUGUACUUAAUAUUUCUUUCCCAUCUGUCAAGGUUAGACUUAUGACCUGAGAUGUGGUCUAUCCUGGUGAAUGUUUCAUGCACUAAAAGAGUGUGUAUUCCACUGUGCCAGGUGAAGGGUUGACAAAUGACAAUCAGCAGGUGAGGUGGCACCCACUUGUACUUCUAGUGACUUGGGAGGCCAAGGCUUGCAAGUUAGAGGCCAGCCUGGGCAACUGAGAGAGAGAGAAAGGUCCUGUCUUUUUGCUGUUCAAUUUAAUUUUUUUUUUUAGUUGUAGAUGCACACAAUACCUUUGUUUUAUAUGGUGCUGAGGAUUGAACCCUUGCCUCACAUGUGCUAGGCAAGUGCUCUACCACUAAGCCACAACCCCAGCCUGAGAUUCUGUCUUAAAAUAAAAAAUAAAAAGGUCCAGGUGCCGUGGUGCAUGCCUGUAAUCCUAGUGGCUCAGGAGGCUGAGGCAGAAGGAUCGUGAGUUCAAACCCAGCCUCAGUAAUUUAGCAAGGCUCUAAGCAACUCAGUGAGACUUUGUCUCUAAUAAAACACCAAAUGGGCUUGGGAUAUAGCUCAGUGGUUAAGGGCCCCUAUAUUUAAUCCCUGGUACCAAAAAAUAAAAUAAAAAGGGCUAGAGAUGAGGCUUAGUGGUAGAGCACCCCUGUUCAAUCUCAAUAGUUCAAUAACAACAAAACAAAAAACCUCAAGUCUACGUGAGUUAAAAUCCAGACUACAAAUCACAUUUAAAAAACCAGUAAGGAGGGAUUUCCUAAAGAAGCCAAUGAAAAUGAUCAAAGAAUAUGAACAGGCACCUCAAAAAAAUAUGGUUAACCCACGUGUGAAAAUAGACUACUCACUAGCACUGGGCAAAAUGCCAACUUGUACCACAAUGAGACAUUACUAUGUUCCUAGGACUAAGGCAGAGAGCUGUAGCAAUGGCGACUCUGAUGACCUGCUGUUGGGAGGGCAAAUCCUCACACCAUUUGGAAGUGAUUGGAUGAAAGUGCUCAUGCCAUGACCCAGCAAGGCCUUUCCCUUCUGACCAGGUGCAGAGAAACAGUGUAUCUGCAGCAGUGCUAUUGGCAGUAAGUAGAAAAAAAAAAUCAGACACACGGGGAGCAUAAAUCAGUGUUGGCUAUCCACACGAUCGAGUACUCUGUUAAAAUGAAUAGAUAACAUUUUAUCCAUUUGGACAAAUCUUGCCCCGAACUUUGUUGACCAGAAGAAACACCAGCAGGAGGACACACACAGUUCACCACUUAUAAACUGUGCGGCCUGUGUGGUGACCAGGCCUGUGAUCCCAGAGGCUGAAGCCGGAAGAUCGUUCGUUCCAGGCCAGCCUCAGCAAAUUGUGAGACCCUGUCUCAAAAACUGAAAAGGGCUGGGGGUGAGGGUCAGUGGUAGAAUGGCCACUGGGAGACUGGUCUGUCUUAUUUGGGAAUGCUCAUAUACACAAUAGAGUCUUACAGGAUGUGUAAGAGUGAGGGCCAUUAAUACAGGUCAGUGCCCACCUCUGAGGGAGGACUACCUGGUGGGGGAGAGGGCCUGCGAGGGCUUUGGACACGCUUUUAAGGUAGGGGAUCAGUCAUGGCGCUGGUUAUUUAUUUAUUUAUUUUUAAUUCUUGUAUGUUUGAAUGUUCAGUAAUGAAACUCACGUGCAUCUGCCCAUAUACCAAAAUCUCAGGAACGGGAACUACAUGUAAUAGGGUUAGGGUGGCGUCUUACUUUCUUGUACUAGUGUUUUCUGACAUUUCUUCUAGAGUGUAUCAUUCUUCUGUGGCAAAAUGCUAUAAAAGAGUUUCAGUGAGAGGGAUGUAUUAUCUGUCCUGGAGAUGCGCAGGGAGGGACCGCCCCUCCGUGCCCAGGACGCUCUCCUCCGGUUCUGAAAGCGUCCCCCUCGCGUGCGGCCCGUGUCCAGCAGAGGGCGCCAGAGAGGCCUGCCCCAGGCCAUCCUGGUCCAGGCUCUCUCAUCCCUGCAGCAGAGGCCUGUUCAGUUUCACUCCUGGAGCCUACCUUCAUCUCUGCUCACGAAUGCAUAUUUCCCCCAAAUCAUGAGAAGAGAUUCACUAAGUUAAAAUAAUGAUUUCCAAUGUGUACACACAUGCCAGGAAAAGCCCACAGCUGCGAGGUUCCCACAAGGCAGCCGUGUGACUUUGAGCGCUGGAAACAGCUGGUCUGAACACCCAUGAGGACUUAGAAUAAAAAUAGACGUUUCUUGUUAAUAAUCCAAGAAAUGCUGAUUGUAUGUUCAGAUAAUAUUUUGGACAUACUGGCUUAAAAUAUACCAUUGAAAUUAAUUUCAUUUGUUUCUUUAAAAAAAAUUCAUCAUACAAACAUUUUUCUUUUUGGACACUAUCACAUCACAUAUCGGCCCACACUGCAUUUCUACUGGACAGCCCUGGUCUGGAAAGAAUGUUGGCAACAGCAAGAUGCCAGUGAGGUUCCCCAUAGGGUGUAGAAUCACAGCUUGUUUUGAUAUUACUGUCUUGCUUUCCCGUAUUUUCAAUUGUUCUAGUUUGAAUUUGUAAUACUUGUAAAUAGAAUGAAAACGUUAAAGGAAACUACUUCCA
RNAcentral lists this long non-coding RNA (3175 nucleotides) under Marmota monax (woodchuck). Lineage: Eukaryota; Metazoa; Chordata; Mammalia; Rodentia; Sciuridae. The record is from RNAcentral.